CCUACGGGAGGCAGCAGUGGGGAAUAUUGGACAAUGGGGGGAACCCUGAUCCAGCGACGCCGCGUGAGUGAAGAAGUAUUUCGGUAUGUAAAGCUCUAUCAGCAGGGAAGAAAGAAAUGACGGUACCUGACUAAGAAGCCCCGGCUAACUACGUGCCAGCAGCCGCGGUAAUACGUAGGGGGCAAGCGUUAUCCGGAUUUACUGGGUGUAAAGGGAGCGUAGGCGGUUACGCAAGUCUGGAGUGAAAGGCGGGGGCCCAACCCCCGGACUGCUUUGGAAACUGUAUAACUGGAGUGCAGGAGAGGUAAGUGGAAUGCCUGGUGUAGCGGUGAAAUGCGUAGAUAUUAGGAAGAACACCAGUGGCGAAGGCAGCUUACUGGACUGUAACUGACGUUGAGGCUCGAAAGCGUGGGGAGCGAACAGGAUUAGAUACCCCAGUAGUC
This 443-nucleotide ribosomal RNA is filed under the name uncultured bacterium. Its description in RNAcentral is "partial 16S ribosomal RNA". It matches the Rfam family "Bacterial small subunit ribosomal RNA", at positions 338 to 795 of the family's 1533-position model. The record is from RNAcentral.